CCAGACUUCAGGAAAACAUUGUUUUUCAGGUUCAAGAGGCCCAGUGAAUUAUAAGCAGAAUAAAUAAAUCACAUUCAUAAAAAAGAAAUAGCAUUUAGACAUAUUGCAGGGAAAUUUUAUUUAUUACCUCCCAAAUAAAUAGAUAUAUUGAUAGAAAGACAGAGCAAUGAAGGUCACCUCCAAGGGAACAAUGAGUAGAUUAGCAGCUGAUUUCUCAACAGCAGCAAUAGGAAUCAGAAGACAGCGAAAGCAUACCUUCAAAGUGUCAACAGAAGAUGACUUUCAGCUUAUAACAGUGUACCCAGCAAAACUGUGUCAAAAUGAGAGUGGAAUAAGUAUGUUUUCAGAUAAAGAAGAGCAUUUUAUGACCAAAAAUCCUCCUAAAAUUUUUUUUAAAGGAUGCAUUUCAGGAAGAAGGAAAGUCUGAGAUGAAGCAGGAAAGAUUUCUAGAGAAACUGGUGUGCAUGUGCACAAAUUUAAACAUUGAAUGUAAAAAUAGCAAAAUGAGCCAGCUAAAAAUAAGGGCUGCAAAUUACUUUCCUGUUUUCUUCUCUAAGUUUUCUAAUUUUGAUACUAUAAAAGUUCUAUGGAUAAAAUAUACAGUAAAAUAAAAACAGGUAUGCUGCUGUAUGUCUGCUUGUGUAUAUGGUCAAGAAAAUUAAAAUUUAAAAAAUUAAACUGUCCUUUUGAAAUACCUGAGGUCUUAACAUUAAGACUCUUUGUUUUAGGGAAGUAAUAAUUUAGUUGUAACAAUACCAGCUAGGAAGUUAGGAACUAUUCUAGCUUCUUAAAAACCAUGGUGAAAAGGAAAGAGGAAACUGUUGUGCAGGCUGCAUGUUCCCUACAAUUUUUCUAGUGCAUACCCCUUUUUUGCGCCUGCAGUGCUCUCUUUUAAAUACUUCUGCAUGUAUGUUAGAUCAGUAAAAAUGUAGAACAUUAAUUUUAUAGAGAACUAAACAAAAUUAUAGCCCAGUUCCAUAAGCAAUCAGGAAUGAUGCACACCACAAUAACUCAGGAAAAUUAUUUCAAAUUUGUCCUAAUAGAUUUAAAGCAUAGUCACAUUCAAGAUUUCAUUUGAAAAAUGUUUUAGAUAUGCCAUUUGAGGUAAGUAAUGAUUUUGGUAUUAGCAAAACACUUCGCUACUUAUUCAUUUCUUAUUAUGUCAUUCUUUGUGGUAGCAGAAACUUCCCUAUUCAGAUGGAACUUACGUUGGGCACUCUCUAGAACUUUCUAGUGAAUACCAUUUCUCAAAGGUUUACAAAAUGUGAGGAACAAUCCAAAAAUAUGCCUUUGUUUUUAUAGAAGUCUCAGCAGGAGGGGGGAAAGACACAAAGGAGAAAAUGUAGUGACAUCACCAAGGUGGCACCAAGAAUGACAGCAUUGUUCUUACUUUGGUCCCCUACACAAGAACAACUAACAAACAAUUAUUCGAGAACAAGAGGACACUGAGAGAAUCUUAGAAGAUGGGGGUGAGGCUGAAGCACCUCCCUGUAACUGACAGACCAAGACAGACUACAUUAGAAGGGUAAGGGCAACACUACAUGUUGUCUGCAUUGCCCCUCCCCUAGGACAGCACAGGACCAUGCAGAGAGGUCUGUCCUGAAGCUCUGAUUCCCCCAGUGAGAACCCAGGGGGACAACCAGCCUCCCCAACGAAGUGGUUCAUUUUGUGUGAGCCUCUAAUCUGAUCUCAUACCGUAAGGAUUGCAGAAGAAUAUGCAGGGCUCAGCCACUGGGAAUCUGAAUGUGACAGGAGGGGAAUGGUCUUGCAACUACCAGUACCUGGAUCUUGGAAGACUGAGUUCAUACUGGCAGUGCCCAAGUGGUAAUACCAACCAGUAAAUUUGCUUACCUACAGAACCAAGUUGGAGAUGGACCCUCACCCAGGAACUUGGAAGGGUGCAGAUGUGCCUGAAUUGGAUCCUUAAGCAAAGAGUUUUUGCUGGCCCUAGAGCCGAGUUUGUGCAUACCUAAGCAAUGGGUUGAGUCAGAGCCCUACAUGCUGUGGAGAGUGACUCCAUCUGAGAAGAGGGCUGGUGACAACUGGAAGUUAUGCAGUCCAGUGGUGCUCUAGCUGAGAGACAAGCUGGUAGAGCUGAUUGUUCCAGAGCAAAGCCAGUGCAGAUCAUGGACUGUUCCCAUAUUAUGCACAGGCAGGGGCAUUAAUUCACAGACAGUGCUGAGAGUAGCUCCAUCCCCUCACAACCAGAGUGCCUAUUUGGGAAAUUGAGGAUAGCCUAGUGUCUCUCCUUCCUCUCCUACCCAGGCAAAGGGACUGAGUCAUACCCUAACCUGCUGUGGAGUGUGUCUUCUAGUCCCAUCUACCAUAAAGGCUGGCAAAAACAUCUGAGAGCUAUGUGGCCCAGCAGUACUCACACUGAGAGAAGGGCAGACAGAACUGAUAGUUUGAAGAACAAAGCCAGUGGCUCUGUUUGGCCAGGGAACUUGGUAUGUGAGUCACCUUGAGUUAAGACAACA
Molecule: long non-coding RNA, 2477 nt
Organism: Mustela erminea (ermine)
Lineage: Eukaryota; Metazoa; Chordata; Mammalia; Carnivora; Mustelidae
Exons: 2
Source: RefSeq, a predicted model, not a curated record